RNAcentral lists this ribosomal RNA (334 nucleotides) under uncultured eukaryote. RNAcentral describes it as "partial 18S ribosomal RNA". It matches the Rfam family "Eukaryotic small subunit ribosomal RNA", at positions 1470 to 1796 of the family's 1831-position model. The record is from RNAcentral.
CCCUUAGAUGUCCGGGGCCGCACGCGCGCUACACUGAAGGAAUCAGCGUGGCUUUCUCCCUGACCCGCAAGGGUUGGGAAACCCGUUGAAUCUCCUUCGUGAUAGGGAUUGGGGCUUGAAAUUGUUCCCCAUGAACGAGGAAUUCCCAGUAAGCGCGAGUCAUAAGCUCGCGUUGAUUACGUCCCUGCCCUUUGUACACACCGCCCGUCGCUACUACCGAUUGAACGGUUUAGUGAGGGCCUCGGAUUGGUCUCGGCCCGCUCUUUACCGGGCGGCGCCGUUGGUCGAGAAGACGCUCGAACUUGAUCGUUUAGAGGAAGUAAAAGUCGUAACA